RNAcentral lists this ribosomal RNA (1219 nucleotides) under Escherichia coli. RNAcentral's name for it is "bacterial LSU rRNA". It matches the Rfam family "Bacterial large subunit ribosomal RNA", at positions 1111 to 2314 of the family's 2925-position model. The record is from RNAcentral. Lineage: Bacteria; Pseudomonadati; Pseudomonadota; Gammaproteobacteria; Enterobacterales; Enterobacteriaceae.
AGCAGCCAUCAUUUAAAGAAAGCGUAAUAGCUCACUGGUCGAGUCGGCCUGCGCGGAAGAUGUAACGGGGCUAAACCAUGCACCGAAGCUGCGGCAGCGACGCUGAUGCGUUGUUGGGUAGGGGAGCGUUCUGUAAGCCUGUGAAGGUGUGCUGUGAGGCAUGCUGGAGGUAUCAGAAGUGCGAAUGCUGACAUAAGUAACGAUAAAGCGGGUGAAAAGCCCGCUCGCCGGAAGACCAAGGGUUCCUGUCCAACGUUAAUCGGGGCAGGGUGAGUCGACCCCUAAGGCGAGGCCGAAAGGCGUAGUCGAUGGGAAACAGGUUAAUAUUCCUGUACUUGGUGUUACUGCGAAGGGGGGACGGAGAAGGCUAUGUUGGCCGGGCGACGGUUGUCCCGGUUUAAGCGUGUAGGCUGGUUUUCCAGGCAAAUCCGGAAAAUCAAGGCUGAGGCGUGAUGACGAGGCACUACGGUGCUGAAGCAACAAAUGCCCUGCUUCCAGGAAAAGCCUCUAAGCAUCAGGUAACAUCAAAUCGUACCCCAAACCGACACAGGUGGUCAGGUAGAGAAUACCAAGGCGCUUGAGAGAACUCGGGUGAAGGAACUAGGCAAAAUGGUGCCGUAACUUCGGGAGAAGGCACGCUGAUAUGUAGGUGAAGUCCCUCGCGGAUGGAGCUGAAAUCAGUCGAAGAUACCAGCUGGCUGCAACUGUUUAUUAAAAACACAGCACUGUGCAAACACGAAAGUGGACGUAUACGGUGUGACGCCUGCCCGGUGCCGGAAGGUUAAUUGAUGGGGUUAGCGCAAGCGAAGCUCUUGAUCGAAGCCCCGGUAAACGGCGGCCGUAACUAUAACGGUCCUAAGGUAGCGAAAUUCCUUGUCGGGUAAGUUCCGACCUGCACGAAUGGCGUAAUGAUGGCCAGGCUGUCUCCACCCGAGACUCAGUGAAAUUGAACUCGCUGUGAAGAUGCAGUGUACCCGCGGCAAGACGGAAAGACCCCGUGAACCUUUACUAUAGCUUGACACUGAACAUUGAGCCUUGAUGUGUAGGAUAGGUGGGAGGCUUUGAAGUGUGGACGCCAGUCUGCAUGGAGCCGACCUUGAAAUACCACCCUUUAAUGUUUGAUGUUCUAACGUGGACCCGUGAUCCGGGUUGCGGACAGUGUCUGGUGGGUAGUUUGACUGGGGCGGUCUCCUCCUAAAGAGUAACGGAGGAGCACGAA